UCAUGAUUUACAUUUGAGUGAGUGGCGAACUGGUGAGUAACACGUGGGAAACCUGCCCAGAAGCGGGGGAUAACACCUGGAAACAGAUGCUAAUACCGCAUAACAACUUGGACCGCAUGGUCCGAGUUUGAAAGAUGGCUUCGGCUAUCACUUUUGGAUGGUCCCGCGGCGUAUUAGCUAGAUGGUGGGGUAACGGCUCACCAUGGCAAUGAUACGUAGCCGACCUGAGAGGGUAAUCGGCCACAUUGGGACUGAGACACGGCCCAAACUCCUACGGGAGGCAGCAGUAGGGAAUCUUCCACAAUGGACGAAAGUCUGAUGGAGCAACGCCGCGUGAGUGAAGAAGGGUUUCGGCUCGUAAAACUCUGUUGUUAAAGAAGAACAUAUCUGAGAGUAACUGUUCAGGUAUUGACGGUAUUUAACCAGAAAGCCACGGCUAACUACGUGCCAGCAGCCGCGGUAAUACGUAGGUGGCAAGCGUUGUCCGGAUUUAUUGGGCGUAAAGCGAGCGCAGGCGGUUUUUUAAGUCUGAUGUGAAAGCCUUCGGCUCAACCGAAGAAGUGCAUCGGAAACUGGGAAACUUGAGUGCAGAAGAGGACAGUGGAACUCCAUGUGUAGCGGUGAAAUGCGUAGAUAUAUGGAAGAACACCAGUGGCGAAGGCGGCUGUCUGGUCUGUAACUGACGCUGAGGCUCGAAAGUAUGGGUAGCAAACAGGAUUAGAUACCCUGGUAGUCCAUACCGUAAACGAUGAAUGCUAAGUGUUGGAGGGUUUCCGCCCUUCAGUGCUGCAGCUAACGCAUUAAGCAUUCCGCCUGGGGAGUACGGCCGCAAGGCUGAAACUCAAAGGAAUUGACGGGGGCCCGCACAAGCGGUGGAGCAUGUGGUUUAAUUCGAAGCUACGCGAAGAACCUUACCAGGUCUUGACAUACUAUGCAAAUCUAAGAGAUUAGACGUUCCCUUCGGGGACAUGGAUACAGGUGGUGCAUGGUUGUCGUCAGCUCGUGUCGUGAGAUGUUGGGUUAAGUCCCGCAACGAGCGCAACCCUUAUUAUCAGUUGCCAGCAUUAAGUUGGGCACUCUGGUGAGACUGCCGGUGACAAACCGGAGGAAGGUGGGGAUGACGUCAAAUCAUCAUGCCCCUUAUGACCUGGGCUACACACGUGCUACAAUGGAUGGUACAACGAGUUGCGAACUCGCGAGAGUAAGCUAAUCUCUUAAAGCCAUUCUCAGUUCGGAUUGUAGGCUGCAACUCGCCUACAUGAAGUCGGAAUCGCUAGUAAUCGCGGAUCAGCAUGCCGCGGUGAAUACGUUCCCGGGCCUUGUACACACCGCCCGUCACACCAUGAGAGUUUGUAACACCCAAAGUCGGUGGGGUAACCUUUAG
RNAcentral lists this ribosomal RNA (1384 nucleotides) under Lactiplantibacillus plantarum. RNAcentral describes it as "bacterial SSU rRNA". It matches the Rfam family "Bacterial small subunit ribosomal RNA", at positions 72 to 1445 of the family's 1533-position model. Lineage: Bacteria; Bacillati; Bacillota; Bacilli; Lactobacillales; Lactobacillaceae. The record is from RNAcentral.